Molecule: unclassified non-coding RNA, 280 nt
Filed under: uncultured fungus
Lineage: Eukaryota; Fungi
Description: sequence contains ITS1, 5.8S rRNA gene, ITS2
Rfam family: 5.8S ribosomal RNA (bases 134-278)
About the family: 5.8S ribosomal RNA (5.8S rRNA) is a component of the large subunit of the eukaryotic ribosome. It is transcribed by RNA polymerase I as part of the 45S precursor that also contains 18S and 28S rRNA.
Source: RNAcentral
AACCCCUGUGACAUACCACUUUGUUGCCUUCGGCGGAUCAGCCCGCUUCCCCGGUAAAACGGGACGGCCCGCCAGAGGACCCCUAAACUCUGUUUCUAUAUGUAACUUCUGAGUAAAACCAUAAAUAAAUCAAAACUUUCAACAACGGAUCUCUUGGUUCUGGCAUCGAUGAAGAACGCAGCAGAAGGAGCAUACGAAAUUUCACCCCACCCCUGGUGAAAUACUUUUUUGCUCGGGAACCCCCUCGUUAAAAAGGGAGGCCCCCAGGCCCAAACUCUUU